GAAACCUCAUCUUCGAUCGUUCGCCAUCCGGGCAUCGAUCAGUGUUUCCAACACGGGCGUUCGCCCAGAUGAGGAGAAAGU
This 81-nucleotide non-coding RNA is filed under the name unclassified sequences. The record is from Rfam.